GAGGAAGCCCGGUGCGAAUCCGGCGCGGUCCCGCCACUGUGAGCCCGGCCACCACGGCCGGGUGAGCCAGGAACUC
Molecule: non-coding RNA, 76 nt
Filed under: Streptomyces qinglanensis
Lineage: Bacteria; Bacillati; Actinomycetota; Actinomycetes; Kitasatosporales; Streptomycetaceae
Source: RNAcentral